Hyalella azteca is the source of this 238-nucleotide long non-coding RNA. RefSeq lists it as uncharacterized. NCBI's taxonomy places the organism in Eukaryota, Metazoa, Arthropoda, Malacostraca, Amphipoda, Hyalellidae. The record is from RefSeq and is a predicted model, not a curated record. The transcript has 3 exons.
GGAAACCAGAAUCUGCCUAAUGGUUCUCAUGAAGAUAUUGGGAUCACCAUUGAGGCCUUGGAAACUGAAGGAAUUGACUUAACAUCUCUGGUAUGUGACCCUUUAAACUCCAGCAAGGAAGGACCAUAUGUAUUUCACUUUCCACCUAAUGCUUCAAAAAAUAAGAAAUCAUAUUUUAAGAAAAAGUCUCCAGAUGAGACGCCUUCGUAUGAGCGUAUAUGUGAGGUACUCCAGCGAA